Non-coding RNA from Vicia faba (fava bean), 312 nucleotides. The record is from the annotation of a GenBank genome assembly. Lineage: Eukaryota; Viridiplantae; Streptophyta; Magnoliopsida; Fabales; Fabaceae.
AUGCAAAUUAUUUCGUCACUGUUCAACUUCUCCGUCCCACGCGUCUCGCCUACGCCGUUCCGCCCCCGUAUCGCCUAUGCCGCUCCGCCGUCUCUCCUACGCCGCUCCUCACAGAUUUCACGUCUCCUCGCCGCCGGCUGCAUGAAGACAUCCUCCGCCGUCCAUUUGCCGUCCGUUUCUCCGUCCAUUCGCCGUCCGUUUCUCCGUCCGUUCGUUAUCCGUUCUCCGUCUUCGAAACAUCCUCCGCCGUCCAAUUACGAUUCCGGUGAUGGACCUGGAUACAAGAGUAAAAUGUGGUUAGGAACGUCUUAA